Molecule: non-coding RNA, 201 nt
Organism: Pelobates cultripes (western spadefoot toad)
Lineage: Eukaryota; Metazoa; Chordata; Amphibia; Anura; Pelobatidae
Source: the annotation of a GenBank genome assembly
GGACUAUUUUAAUACAAGGCUCUGCAUUACUCGAAUUGACCCAGCUGUAUUGUUCCUGCAACAGCACAGAGAGAGCCACAACCUUGAUAAGCUUACUUCCAACUAUUGGUCACUGGCCACACAGCCAAGAGCAGCUCUGGUACAACAUGGUAGUGCUACUAAGUAUCAGUCUAACAGCAAAGUAAUGGAACAGUCUAACAG